UUCUGAACUUUGACAGCCCAUGUCUAAAAGGCAUCUUUUUUUUACCUACAGACCAUCUCUGUCAAAAUCCAGCUCUGCCACGUGCUAUUAAAAGACUGGUGGGAACUGACUUCUAUUUUCCAUAUUCAAAAGGAAUCUACUCAGUCAAUUGGAUUACAACCCAUGCUACUACCCAAAGCAAAAGGUGUAAGUUGGAGCUCAGUGAAAAGAGUGGACAUUUUCAACAGAUGGAGUCCAAGAACCAGUAAGGCAUGACAAAGUGUCUGCAGAAUGACUGAUUUCAUGGAAAUGGCUCUUGAUCUACAGAAAAUCCAGAAAAUCCAGCAGGUCUCCUUCAUCAUGCUGAAUGCUGAAAGAGAAAUGCUAUUCCUCCACAACU
RNAcentral lists this long non-coding RNA (379 nucleotides) under Coturnix japonica (Japanese quail). Its description in RNAcentral is "lncRNA (ENSCJPG00005021415.1)". Lineage: Eukaryota; Metazoa; Chordata; Aves; Galliformes; Phasianidae. The record is from RNAcentral.